Molecule: ribosomal RNA, 500 nt
Filed under: uncultured bacterium
Lineage: Bacteria
Description: partial 16S ribosomal RNA
Rfam family: Bacterial small subunit ribosomal RNA
Source: RNAcentral
AUUGAACGCUGGCGGAAUGCUUUACACAUGCAAGUCGAACGGCAGCACGGACUUCGGUCUGGUGGCGAGUGGCGAACGGGUGAGUAAUGUAUCGGAACGUGCCCAGUCGUGGGGGAUAACGUAGUGAAAAUUACGCUAAUACCGCAUACGCUCUAUGGAUGAAAGCGGGGGAUCGCAAGACCUCGCGCGAUUGGAGCGGCCGAUAUCAGAUUAGGUAGUUGGUGGGGUAAAGGCCCACCAAGCCAACGAUCUGUAGCUGGUCUGAGAGGACGAACAGCCACACUGGAACUGAGACACGGUCCAGACUCCUACGGGAGGCAGCAGUGGGGAAUUUUGGACAAGGGUCGAAGGCCUGAUCCAGCCAUUCCGCGUGCAGGAUGAAGGCCCUCGGGUUGUAAACUGCUUUUGUACAGAACGAAAAGGUUUCUACUAAUACUAGGAGCUCAUGACGGUACUGUAAGAAUAAGCACCGGCUAACUACGUGCCAGCAGCCGCCGUAA